AUAGCGUAUAUUUAAGUUGUUGCAGUUAAAAAGCUCGUAGUUGGACCUUGGGACGUCACGGUCGGUCCGCCUUCUUGGUGUGCACUGGCCCUCACGUCCCUUCUGCCGGCGGCGUGUUCCUGGCCUUAAUUGGCUGGGUCGCGGUUCCGGCGCCGUUACUUUGAAAAAAUUAGAGUGCUCAAAGCAAGCCUACGCUCUGAAUACAUUAGCAUGGAAUAACGCGAUAGGAGUCUGGUCCUGUUCCGUUGGCCUUCGGGACCGGAGUAAUGAUUAAUAGGGACUGUCGGGGGCAUUCGUAUUUCAUUGUCAGAGGUGAAAUUCUUGGAUUUAUGGAAGACGAACCACUG
RNAcentral lists this ribosomal RNA (347 nucleotides) under uncultured eukaryote. RNAcentral describes it as "SSU rRNA". It matches the Rfam family "Eukaryotic small subunit ribosomal RNA", at positions 594 to 945 of the family's 1831-position model. The record is from RNAcentral.